Molecule: long non-coding RNA, 2881 nt
Filed under: Mytilus galloprovincialis (Mediterranean mussel)
Lineage: Eukaryota; Metazoa; Mollusca; Bivalvia; Mytilida; Mytilidae
Source: RNAcentral
CAAGAGGAGAGAGCAUGCAAAUAUUUUCCUUAUAAAGUAUCAGUUUUGUAGUAUUGGUAAUGUAGUGAUAGCACGAGGUGACAGUACAGAGACAUUUUACCCUCAGAUGACACAGGGGCUGCAGAAAAAGUUCCGUAAAUCUUUCAAAACUGUCAGCUGGAAUCCAUUCCCUUUAGAUAUCUGGACAGGUAUGUGUAAAAGAUUAUAGAAAUUAAGAGAUGUGGUAUGAGUGCCAAUGAUACAACUCUUCAUCAAGGUCACAAUGUGUAAAAAGUAAACAAUUAUAGGUCAAAGUACAACUUCAACACGUAGCAUUGACAAUUACAUUUUAAUAAAGAUAUGACAUAUAUAGUCUUUUGUAGACAUCUAAGUUUUUCUAUUUCUAAUAUCUCGGGUUGUCAAGCAGUUUUAACAAAUGCGAGAAGACAAAAGUUAUUAUAUCUUGAGAAACACAUCAAAAUGAAACCUCACAAAAUGUUUUGAUUUGGUCCAAUAAAAUAACAGAAUUUGAAUUUCAUGUAAAAUAAAACCAGUUGUAACAGAGUGAUUAAUUGAAGUUUUUGUGUCUUUAGUUGUCGUAAAUCAUGUAUGAUUCAUGUAUGCUAAAAACAGCUACACCCAUACUAGUCUUCACUAACAAUGGAAGACAUAAAAUAUUCAUGGCAAUACUUGUUUAAUGUAGAAAUAUUUUUUCAUAGAGAACCUAACAAAAACUACUGUAAAUUCAGAAAUUAUUGCAAUGCUUGUAUUAUUGUGAAAAUGCCACAGGGUUAUAAUCACAAUAUGUAAACUCACAUUUUGAUUUUUUUUAUAAAUUAAAGAUGAUUUUUCACAAUAUCACAAAAAUUAUAAUCACAUUUUAGUCCAAAAUGACAAAAUCUCAAUUUUAAUUUCUGAGUUUACAGUACCUGUUUAUAAGGUAUAAAACAAAAAAAAAUCAGCUGUUCAAAAAAGUAUCUGCAUGAAUGAGAGAAAUACAUGAAAUAUGUGUCUUCAUCAACUAAUGAUUAUUGUUUCAGCCAAAACUAACAGUAUUGGACCAAAAGACACAGCUUCAAUAACAGUAGCAUCGAAUUCAGAGUCAAUAGUAGAAUACCUUGAGACUGUCUUUGAAAGGUCAAGGGUCAAAUUUGCUACCAAAGCUUAUCUCCAUUGGUACAACAAAUAUGGAGUAACUAAUGUAAGUGGGAUAGUGUUUCAGGGGAAGAUCAAUCCUUUUUAAAAAGGGUUGGUUCCCAACUCUGGAUAAAAAAGGGGGGGCAUAUGUCCCUAGACAAAUGCAUUGAUCGUCCCAAAAAAAGCAUGGUUCAAACCCCAGGAACCCCCCUCUGGAUCCACCACUGUGUUUAGAUAUUUAUACACUGCAGCUGUGCUAUUUGCGCUGUCAAAUUGCACUGUCCUUUAAAUCAUGUGUAUAGGAGAGUAGCUUACCUUAUGUCCCCUUGUUUAUGACCAAACAACACAGAUAAUAAACUCAUGUACGUGAAUUAGUGUGUUAUUUGGUUACUCGUUGAAUAUUUUUCUGUUUGAAUUUUUAUGCCCCACAUAAGAUAGUAGAGGCAUUAUGUUUUUAUUGGUCUGUGCGGUCAAGUUGUCUGUUCAUCUGUUCAUCUGAUUCGUUCAUAACCGUCCGUCUGUUUCCCACUCGGUUUAAGUGUUGGUCAAGGUAGUUUUUGAUGAAGCUGAAGGUCCAAUCAAUUGAACACUUAGUACACAUGUUACUUAUGAUAUGAUCUUCUAAUUUUAAAGCCAAAAAUUAAACUUUUUGACCCCAAUGUUCACGGUCCCAUCUGAACAUAGAAAAUGAAAGUGCGAUUUUCAGGUUUAAAGUUUUUGGUCAUAAUGGUAGUUUUAGAUGAAGCUGAAGUCCAAUCAACUUGGAAACUUAGUACACAUGUCCCUGUGAUAAUGAUCUUUUUCUAAUUUUAAGCUUAUUAUAUUUUUUUACCAAUUUUCACGGUCAUUUGAACAUGGAAAAUGAUAGUGCGAUGUCGUGGCCAUUCGCCGUGUAACUUGUAUGGACACAUUCUUGUUUUAAAUUAGUUAUUCUAUAAAUAUUAGGUAUUAAUUGUAUCUGUGCAAAGUAAAACUGAAAAUGGAAAUGGGGAAUAUUUCAAUCAGACAACAACCUGACCAAAUGGAAGGCCACCAAUGGGUCUUCAACGCAGUGAGAUAGUAUUUUCAUGAUCUCACUUUCAUCAAGAAUGCUCAAAGUCCAAUAUUUAAAACCUAUGUAUAUGUAAGCAUGAAAACACUAUUGAGUUAUAUGACAAAAAGUGACAAUAGUUGAUUUACACAUGUCUAAUGUCUGAAAGGGGCCUUGCCUCAGUGGCUGAGUGGUAUAAGUAGUCACUACUGUAACCACUAGCCAGUCAACACUGAGGUUGUGAGUUGGAACUGGUGCACUAGAUCUAAUCUUUAUUGUCUAGGAUAGUCAGCUUCCCUAUCAAAGGUCAGUGGUUUUCUCCAGGCACUAUGGCUUCCUCCACCAUUAAAAACUGGCCAUCAUGAAAUAGCCCAAAUGUGGUGCUAAAAACUGGCGUUAAAACGGAAAAAAACAAAAAUCAAAUGAAAUGUCUAAAUAAUUAAUCAAUGGUAACAGAUAUAAAGCUAAUCAUUGCAGUCACAGGAAAAACAAAGAAUAGUGAAGUUGUUGAUUUUGAAAUCCUGGUCUGUGAUCAUUUGAAACAGCAAACCUGAACACACCUAAAUGCAUUUUAAUUUAAAAAAAAGAAGUGUUUUGAAAAUGAGUAUUCCAAAGGAAAAUAUAAUUUAUCAGAACAGUGUAAAUUUUUUAAGAAUUUUUUUUGAUCUUUUUCAGGAGGAUUUUGAAGAAGCAUUUGGUGUUGUAGAAGACAUUAUACAGAAUUAUAAAAGUGCA